GAUGAGCGCUGGCGGCGUGCCUAAAACAUGCAAGUCGAAUGCGCUUCGGGCGCAUGGCAAACUGGUGAGUAACACAUUGGAAUCUGCCCUUAUCUCAGGGAUAACCCAUCGCAAGGUGGGAUAAUACCUGAUAGUCCGUGCUUGCACGGUAAAACUCCGGUGGAUAAGGAGGAUCCUAUGUCCUAUCAGCUUGUUGGUGGGGUAAUGGCCUACCAAGGCUACGACGGGUAGCUGGUCUGAGAGGAUGAUCAGCCACAUUGGGACUGAGAUACGGCCCAGACUCCUACGGGAGGCAGCAGUUAGGAAUAUUGCAUAAUGGACGAAAGUCUGAUGCAGCAACGCCGCGUGAAGGAUGACGGCCUUCGGGUUGUAAACUUCUUUUACCAGGGAAGAUUAUGACGGUACCUGAUGAAUAAGCUCCGGCUAACUACGUGCCAGCAGCCGCGGUAA
Molecule: ribosomal RNA, 450 nt
Filed under: uncultured bacterium
Lineage: Bacteria
Description: partial 16S ribosomal RNA
Rfam family: Bacterial small subunit ribosomal RNA
Source: RNAcentral